UUUAGAGUCGUGUUGCUUGGAAGUGCAGCACAAAGUUGGUGAUAAACAUCAUCUAAGGCUAAAUAUUCCUAUGAAUCCGAUAGUGAACAAGUACUGUGAAGGAAAAUUGCAAAGUACUCCGGAGAGAGAGUUAAAGAGGACGUGAAACCGAUACGAUGGAAGCAUACAGAGCCAGUUGCACA
RNAcentral lists this ribosomal RNA (182 nucleotides) under Strongyloides stercoralis. RNAcentral describes it as "partial 28S ribosomal RNA". It matches the Rfam family "Eukaryotic large subunit ribosomal RNA", at positions 258 to 439 of the family's 3401-position model. Lineage: Eukaryota; Metazoa; Nematoda; Chromadorea; Rhabditida; Strongyloididae. The record is from RNAcentral.